AUUGAACGCUGGCGGCAGGCCUAACACAUGCAAGUCGAACGAGUGGCGGACGGGUGAGUAAUGUCUGGGACACUGCCUGAUGGAGGGGGAUAACUACUGGACACUGUAGCUAAUACCGCAUACCCUCGGAUGUGCCCAAAUGGGAUUAGCUUGUGGGUGGGGUAAAGGCUCACUUAGGCGACGAUCCCUAGCUGGUCUGAGAGGAUGACCAGCCACACUGGAACUGAGACACGGUCCAGACUCCUACGGGAGGCAGCAGUGGGGAAUAGUGCACAAUGGGCGCAAGCCUGAUGCAGCCAUGCCGCGUGUAUGAAGAAGGCCUUAGGGUUGUAAAGUACUUUCAGCGGGGAGGCGUUACCCGCAGAAGAAGCACCGGCUAACUCCGUGCCAGCAGCCGCGGUAAUUC
RNAcentral lists this ribosomal RNA (406 nucleotides) under uncultured bacterium. RNAcentral describes it as "partial 16S ribosomal RNA". It matches the Rfam family "Bacterial small subunit ribosomal RNA", at positions 30 to 526 of the family's 1533-position model. The record is from RNAcentral.